CAGGAAAGCCGGGUAAUCGCUUAGUACUUUAUUGUGCUGGGAGGAAAGUCCGGACACCAACAAGUACCGCGCUCCCCGAUUCGGUUCAGCUGGCGAAGGGGAGGCUUCCUGAAAGGAAUUUCAGGAUGACAGACAGUGCAACAGAAAACAGACAGCCUCCAGCGCGGAGCGCAAGAAAUUCCAAGUUACAAAUCCCAAUGACCAAAUCUGAAAUUGAGCUUUGGGAUUUAAGUUUUGGUGCUUAGAGUUUCUAACGCUCCGCGUUGGCGGUGAUGGUGAAAAGGUGAGGUAAGAGCUCACCGCCCCGUGUCGUGAGGCCGGGGGCAGUGCAAACCUCGCGGGGUGCAAGUUCAUGCAGAUGGUAUACGCCUCUUGUCGUGACGCCAUCGGGUGGAAUGCGCCAGAUAAAUGAUUACCUCCCGCUCAUAAAUUAUGUGAGGGAACAGAAUCCGGCUUACAGGCUUUCCUGUUGA
RNAcentral lists this RNase P RNA (473 nucleotides) under Balneola sp. RNAcentral's name for it is "RNase P RNA component class A". It matches the Rfam family "Bacterial RNase P class A". From Rfam's summary of the family: Ribonuclease P (RNase P) is a ubiquitous endoribonuclease, found in archaea, bacteria and eukarya as well as chloroplasts and mitochondria. Its best characterised activity is the generation of mature 5'-ends of tRNAs by cleaving the 5'-leader elements of precursor-tRNAs. The record is from RNAcentral. RNAcentral also lists the same sequence under 1 other name. Lineage: Bacteria; Pseudomonadati; Balneolota; Balneolia; Balneolales; Balneolaceae.